AUACCUUUCUCGGCCUUUUGGCUAAGAUCAAGUGUAGUAUCUGUUCUUAUCAGUUUAAUAUCUGAUAUGUGGGCCAUUGGCUCACACGAUAUUAAAUUUAUUUUUUGAAGGGGGAGGCCCAUCACGAUAGCUUGCUAUUGGGGACUUCAAGCGUCGCCUUGGCUUUGCAGUACUGCCUUGGCCUGGCGCACCCACC
RNAcentral lists this small nuclear RNA (196 nucleotides) under Olea europaea subsp. europaea. RNAcentral's name for it is "U2 spliceosomal RNA". It matches the Rfam family "U2 spliceosomal RNA". Rfam says of the family: U2 is a small nuclear RNA (snRNA) component of the spliceosome (involved in pre-mRNA splicing). Lineage: Eukaryota; Viridiplantae; Streptophyta; Magnoliopsida; Lamiales; Oleaceae. The record is from Rfam by way of RNAcentral.